Molecule: long non-coding RNA, 429 nt
Filed under: Glycine max (soybean)
Lineage: Eukaryota; Viridiplantae; Streptophyta; Magnoliopsida; Fabales; Fabaceae
Description: long non-coding RNA (GMAX_LNC002191)
Source: RNAcentral
UUGUGCCAGGCUUAGCGCUUCUCAUGCGCUAAGCCAACCACCUUCUCACCCUCAAGCUUAGCGCGCCUCUGUGCUAAGCCUAAUUACUUCUCUGUUUAGCGCAACUGAUGCAAUCCUCCUGCAUAAUUCAAUUGACAUUUAUUGUUUUUAAUGUUGUCCGUUGUGCCAGGCUUAGCGCUUCUCAUGCGCUAAGCCAACCACCUUCUCACCCUCAAGCUUAGCGCGCCUCUGUGCUAAGCCUAAUUACUUUUCAAUUGUCACUGUGUAGUCUUAGCAUGCUCUGUCAUGCUAAGCCCCCCUGCAUAAUUCAAUUGACAUUUAUUGUUUUUAAUGUUGUCCGUUGUGCCAGGCUUAGCGCUUCUCAUGCGCUAAGCCAACCACCUUCUCACCCUCAAGCUUAGCGCGCCUCUGUGCUAAGCCUAAUUACUU